This 447-nucleotide ribosomal RNA is filed under the name uncultured bacterium. Its description in RNAcentral is "partial 16S ribosomal RNA". It matches the Rfam family "Bacterial small subunit ribosomal RNA", at positions 29 to 523 of the family's 1533-position model. The record is from RNAcentral.
AACGAACGCUGGCGGCAGGCCUAAAACAUGCAAGUCGAACGAACCGCAAGGUUAGUGGCGCACGGGUGAGUAACACGUGGGUAUAUGCCUCUCACUACGGAACAACGUCGGGAAACUGACGCUAAUACCGUAUAAUGUCUCCGGACCAAAGAUUUAUCGGUGAAAGAUUAGCCCGCGUCUGAUUAGCUAGUUGGUGAGGUAAUGGCUCACCAAGGCGACGAUCAGUAGCUGGUCUGAGAGGAUGAUCAGCCACACUGGAACUGAGACACGGUCCAGACUCCUACGGGAGGCAGCAGUUAGGAAUAUUGGACAAUGGGGGCAACCCUGAUCCAGCCAUGCCGCGUGAGUGACGAAGGCCUUCGGGUUGUAAAGCUCUUUCGGCUGUGAAGAUAAUGACAGUAGCAGAAGAAGAAGCCCCGGCUAAAUUCGUGCCAGCCGCCGCAGUAA